This 220-nucleotide ribosomal RNA is filed under the name uncultured fungus. RNAcentral's name for it is "partial 18S ribosomal RNA". The stretch from base 46 to 220 matches the Rfam family "Eukaryotic small subunit ribosomal RNA", at positions 693 to 870 of the family's 1831-position model. Lineage: Eukaryota; Fungi. The record is from RNAcentral.
GGAUCAGAGAAUCGGUCAUGCCUUGGUAUGUACUGGUUUUAUUGGUUCUCACCUUCUAAAGAACCAUAAUGUCAUUUAUUUGAUGUUAUGGGGAAUUAGGACUGUUACCUUGAAAAAUUAGAGUGUUUAAAGCAAGCUUACGCUUGAAUACAUUAGCAUGGAAUAAUGAAAUAGGACAUCAGAUUCUAUUUUGUUGGCUUCUAGGAUCGAUGUAAUGAUU